UCCUCCGCUUAUUGAUAUGCUUAAGUUCAGCGGGUAGUCCUACCUGAUUUGAGGUCAGAUCACAAAGUGGCAAAGCGCCUUUGACCGCCGCUCCAUAGGCAGGUCGAGGAGGGGCCUUCGAGUCGAGCGCCAUCCCAGGACGAGGGUGAUACAACGCCCGUGGACCGGCACACGAUAAGCCCGACCGAUUCAUUUAAGGGGAGCCGGCGCCGAAGCGUCAGCAAGACCCCCAAGUCCAAGCCCUCCGGCGACGAGCGCCGAGGGGCUUGAUGAUUUCAAGACACUCAAACAGGCAUGCCC
Molecule: unclassified non-coding RNA, 300 nt
Filed under: uncultured fungus
Lineage: Eukaryota; Fungi
Description: sequence contains 5.8S rRNA gene, ITS2
Source: RNAcentral